This is a non-coding RNA of Zonotrichia albicollis (white-throated sparrow), 619 nucleotides long. NCBI's taxonomy places the organism in Eukaryota, Metazoa, Chordata, Aves, Passeriformes, Passerellidae. The record is from RefSeq and is a predicted model, not a curated record.
AGUGGUCUGACACAGCCACACUGCCAUGACAGAUGGGAUGGAUGAAUGGGUGGACAGAGGAAAAGUGAAGAAUCUGGAACCAUCACACAUCAGCACUUGCUGAAAGCCCUGGAUGUAUUCCCACUGCUUUCUCCCCCAUUCCUGUGGAAGAGCAGAAUGGAUAGCACAUCCAGCCUUCAGGUGGCUGCUAAUAUGACAUGUACAACUUCAGACAUUUAUGUGAGCACCCAGAAUAACAGGACAGAGUUGGCCACAACCUGAGGUCAUCUUGCCUAUCAACCACCUAACCACUGCCCUGCAGGUCCAGAUAAAAAUCCUGCUACUCCCUCUGUGAUAUGAGAGGAGUCCCAAAGCAUAAUCUCCAGUGCAGUCUCAUGGACAUUGCUUUUGACAUCAUCAUCAAGAUCCUGGACUGUUUCUAAGAGUUUUUGCCACAGUGGUGCACAGAAGUGGGAUGGAAACAAAGUACAGAGUCAAUGCCCACCAAAUCUUGGUGGUUGAGGAACUGCUGAACACCUUGAUGGACAGGACUGGGAUACAGAAGAGCUUCUUCAGCAGGAUGUGACUGGUUUGACUGAAUAUGAGAGCAGAGGUUUCCCCAGGACCUUCAGAUGUGAGC